AAGCGGUGGAGCAUGUGGUUUAAUUCGUAAGCAACGCGAAGAACCUUACCAGGUCUUGACAUCCCGAUGCUAUUUCUAGAGAUAGAAAGUUACUUCGGUACAUCGGUGACAGGUGGUGCAUGGUUGUCGUCAGCUCGUGUCGUGAGAUGUUGGGUUAAGUCCCGCAACGAGCGCAACCCCUAUUGUUAGUUGCCAUCAUUCAGUUUGGGCACUCUAGCGAGACUGCCGGUAAUAAACCGGAGGAAGGUGGGAUGACGUCAAAUCAUCAUGCCCCUUAUGACCUGGGCUACACACGUGCUACAAUGGUUGGUACAACGAGUUGCGAGUCGGUGACGGCGAGCUAAUCUCUUAAAGCCAAUCUCAGUUCGGAUUGUAGGCUGCAACUCGCCUACAUGAAGCCGGAAUCGCUAGUAAUCGCGGAUCAGCCAUGCCGCGGUGAAUACGUUCCCGGGCCUU
Molecule: ribosomal RNA, 456 nt
Filed under: uncultured Streptococcus sp.
Lineage: Bacteria; Bacillati; Bacillota; Bacilli; Lactobacillales; Streptococcaceae
Description: bacterial SSU rRNA
Rfam family: Bacterial small subunit ribosomal RNA
Source: RNAcentral